GUGUCCUACGGGACGCAGCAGUGGGGAAUAUUGCACAAUGGGGGAAACCCUGAUGCAGCGACGCCGCGUGAGUGAAGAAGUAAUUCGUUACGUAAAGCUCUAUCAGCAGGAACGAGACAAGACGGUACCUGACUAAGAAGCCCCGGCUAACUACGUGCCAGCAGCCGCGGUAAUACGUAGGGGGCAAGCGUUAUCCGGAAUCACUGGGUGUAAAGGGAGCGUAGACGGCUGAGCAAGCCUGAAGUGAAAGGCGGGGGCCCAACCCCUGGACUGCUUUGGGAACUGUACGGCUGGAGUGC
Molecule: ribosomal RNA, 299 nt
Filed under: uncultured bacterium
Lineage: Bacteria
Description: partial 16S ribosomal RNA
Rfam family: Bacterial small subunit ribosomal RNA
Source: RNAcentral